UGGAAGCUGGCAUUGAUGGACUGCUAGUGUUUAGUUUUUUUCAUUUGUAUUGACGAACAAUGUCAAACUUAUGUAUGUAUAUAUAGAUGAACUAUGUGAAACUAUGUAUUGUGCUAGCCUAUGUGUUUGCUAGCUUGUUAAAUAUUUCAUGAUGAUGUUGGAAAUAUAUAUGAUGUGAAAUAUAUGUGUUGAAGAUGUAUGAAAU
This 205-nucleotide long non-coding RNA is filed under the name Hordeum vulgare. RNAcentral describes it as "long non-coding RNA (HVUL_LNC009052)". Lineage: Eukaryota; Viridiplantae; Streptophyta; Magnoliopsida; Poales; Poaceae. The record is from RNAcentral.